Molecule: ribosomal RNA, 787 nt
Filed under: bacterium 21F07-Zb2-9
Lineage: Bacteria
Description: bacterial SSU rRNA
Rfam family: Bacterial small subunit ribosomal RNA
Source: RNAcentral
GUAGCGGUGAAUGCGUAGAAGAUUUGGAGGAACNCAGUGGCGAGCCGACUUUCUGGUCUGUACUGACACUGAGCGCGAAAGCGNGGGGGAGCAAACAGGAUUAGAUACCUGGUAGUCCACGCGUAAACGAUGAGUGCUAAGUGUAGAGGGUUUCCGCCCUUUAGUGCUGCAGCUAACGCAUUAAGCACUCCGCUGGGGAGUACGGCCGCAAGGCUGAAACUCAAAGGAAUUGACGGGGGCCCGCACAAGCGGUGGAGCAUGUGGUUUAAUUCGAAGCAACGCGAAGAACCUUACCAGGUCUUGACAUCCUCUGACAACCCUAGAGAUAGGGCUUUCCCCUUCGGGGGACAGAGUGACAGGUGGUGCAUGGUUGUCGUCAGCUCGUGUCGUGAGAUGUUGGGUUAAGUCCCGCAACGAGCGCAACCCUUGAUCUUAGUUGCCAGCAUUCAGUUGGGCACUCUAAGGUGACUGCCGGUGACAAACCGGAGGAAGGUGGGGAUGACGUCAAAUCAUCAUGCCCCUUAUGACCUGGGCUACACACGUGCUACAAUGGAUGGUACAAAGGGCUGCAAACCUGCGAAGGUAAGCGAAUCCCAUAAAGCCAUUCUCAGUUCGGAUUGCAGGCUGCAACUCGCCUGCAUGAAGCCGGAAUCGCUAGUAAUCGCGGAUCAGCAUGCCGCGGUGAAUACGUUCCCUGGCCUUGUACACACCGCCCGUCACACCACGAGAGUUUGUAACUACAGAAGUUCGUGAGUCACUAAGUCGGAGCAAGCUAACCACUAGAGUU